CAUCUCACAUUAUUGAGGAUAU
Molecule: microRNA, 22 nt
Filed under: Caenorhabditis briggsae
Lineage: Eukaryota; Metazoa; Nematoda; Chromadorea; Rhabditida; Rhabditidae
Description: Cbr-Mir-392_5p* (star (passenger))
Source: RNAcentral